AUGGCUCCUUCCGGAAGAUCAUACUUGCCAGCAUACAACCCAAGCUCCACAUAUCCAAACUAUAAUCAUACAUCUGCAUUAAAGUAAAAAAAAAAUUAGUUAUCAUACAUGAAAUAUCUUGUAAUUCAAAAGAAAAUACUGCUCUUUACUAUUAAAAAUAUAUGUCACUCCACUGACCCAAAAGUCCAAAAACCAGUUAACACCUUUAUGUAUUUCUUUUCAGUCUUUUUUCUAUAUACCCGCCCCACCCCCGUUUCAAAACAAUCUGUAUACUAUUUGGAAUUUACUCUUUUCACUUACCUAAGAAGGUCCCAAACUGUUACAGGCCAUGGAAACCUUUUAAUGUGUAGCAUUAUUUUAGUGCAUAAAUGUUUCAGAAUUUAAUCUUUAAUUUCUCCUAUAAUUAGAUAGUGUUUUGUUUUUCAUCACCAUUAUAAACAAUGUUGUGAAGAAUAUUUUUAUGCAUAAAAUGUGUUUUGGGCUCUGCAUUAUAGCUUCAAGAUCCCAGAAAAGCCAUUUCUAGGACAGAGUUUGAACUUCUCAAUGUGUCUGAUAAAAACACCUGCGAGGAGCGGGCAUGAAAGGUACUCCCAAGGAUUUUGUUCCUGUGAGGAGAAAGAGGGCUUUUGUUCUUUUUUGGUCAAGGGGAAGGUCUUUAAAAUACAAUUUAGGAAAAUCACAAGAGAACAUUUUUGAGUUUAUUUUAAGGUUGGUUAAACCUUACAAUUCUCAAUUUGACUCCAAAAAGUAUCUCUGGUGUACCUUCUCUUCAGUUAGGAUCAAAUGCAGAUCUAUUCAUAUUCUCCUGAUGUUAUGAAAAUAAGAACAAGUUAUGAUGGAUGAACUGAAGUGAUUCAUGUUUUACAUUCAUAUAAAAGGGACAGCCAUGUAUGUGCAUAAAUGGCCUACUCAAAUGCACAAAACGACAUUUUUACAAAUUAUGUGCAAAACACAGGACCGAAAUUUUAUCUGCCCUUCUCUUCUCACCUGAUAGUCUACAAGUAGCUCAGGACCUUUGAAGUAUCGGGAAGCAACUCUGACAUUGUAUUCUUGGCCAGGAUGGUAAAACUCAGCCAAACCCCAGUCUAUUAGUCGUAGCUGAAAUUAAAAAAAAAAGGGGAAGAAUAAAUUAUGAGCAAUUUUAUCUUUCAUGCUACCCCACACACUGCCAUCAGAAUACUCUUAAAAGGGGCGCCUGCGUGGCUCAGUCGGUUAAGCGUCCGACUUGGCUCAGGUCAUAAUCUCGCAGUUGGUGGGUUUGAGCCCCAUGUUGGGCUCUGUGCUGACAGCUCAGAGCCUGGAGCCAGCUUCAGAUUCUAUGUCUCCUCCUCUCUCUGGCCCUCCCAUGCUCAUGCUCUGUCUCUCUCUGUCUCUCAAUAAUAAAUAAACGUUAAAUAAUAAUAAUAAAUAAAUUGGGGGAAAAAAGAAUACUCUUAAAAAUACCAGCCAUGUCACUACUGAAACCUUUCCAGUGACUACCUAUUUACAGCAUUUAGAAUGAAAAUCAAACUUCUUAGCUUGGCAUACAGGGUUCUCCAUGAUCUAGUUCCUGUGCUCCAGUGAGACUUCUAGUUUCUGAAAAACACCAUCUAUUCUGCAUUUCUGCACAAUUUCUCAAACUGCUCUUCUGACUAGAAUGUCUUCUGCUAUCCAACCUAGACUCCUACUGAACAUAUCCCUAUUUUUUGAGAUAUUUAAGUUAGCCCUUCAAUGAAGUCUUUUCUAAUUAUCCAAGUAGAACUAACCCAUGCCUUUAGUCCCCUGAACCCCAAAUAUAUUUCUUUAAUAGAACCUACAACUCUUUACUGUAUAUUCAUUUUCUAUCUUUCUUUUUCAAUAUGCACUGUAAUCUCCUUAAGGGAAGAGACUGUGUAAUUCAUUUCUGCAAUUUCUAGAAUGCAACAUAAUGCCCAGUACACAAAAGAAAAAUAAAAAAUAUUUGCUGAGUGAACGAAGUAAGGGAAAAGCCACACAAACAAUUCUGACCAAACUGUAUCCUCAAAAUGGAAAAAGCAGUAGGCAAGCCCAAGAGGCAACCUUAUUUGCUCACUGUGCAAAGCAUGACCAUGAUCUCAAGUAUAAGCAGUAGGGCCUGAGUAAUGCCCGAUCACUCUGGCCCUGUCCAUGUAAGUUCACUGUUAACUAGGUACAGCGUUUACCUUGUAUCAGCAAUGAGUGGAAACGUAACAAAAAGUACAAAAGAAAGCAUAACCUUUUUACGCUUUUUCUUUUUAACCCCUUAACAUUAGUGCCUCAGAGCUCUCCUUGACCUUUUUUUUUUUUUAAAUCAACAAGUACUUCCAGAUGACCAUUUCUGGUCUAUGGCUUCACACACAGCACCUCAGCCUUUCCCCCCUAGACUCCCCAGCCUGUGCCUCCUGCCAACUGACUCUUUUAGCCACCCAGUAGACAUAUCAAACAAAACCUCUUGAACACUCCCUGCAAAACCCGCUUCACCCACAGCCUCUCCCCUCUCAGUUAACAGUAAUUCUAUUCAUCCUGUCGUUCAGGCCAAAAAUUUUCACCCUGGGUUCUUGUUUCCCUCACACCUCACAGCAAAUCUGACAAAUGGCUCUACCAUAUUCUGACCGUGAUCAUCACAUCCACUGCCACGACCAUCUCGUUUGACUUCCUGGAACAGUCUCUUUUCCUAACUGGUCUCCUUGCUUUCACUCUUGCCCUGCGCCUCUGUUCUCUGCUUUUGAAAGAGCAAAAGCUUUUCAUUUAAAAAUGAUUAUGAUUCAGGAAGAUCUCAUUUUUCAGUUUGAUAUGCAUGCAUUUGUGUGUAGUUCUUGCAAUUUUAUCACACGUAGGUUCAUGUAAUUUUCAGAAGACAUUGACCUGUUUAAUCACCACAUACAUCCCUUGUGCUAUCCCUUCCCCUCACUUCCUAACCCCUGGUGCAACCCCUGUUUUCAAGCUCCAAUUUUGUCAUUUUGAAAAUGGACCCAUUAAUGUAACUUUUUGUGACUGCUUUUUUUCACUCAGGAUGAGAUUCACCAAGUUGGUGCAUUACCAGUAGUUCUUUCCUUUUUUUAAAAAAGAUUUUAUUUUUAAAUAAUCUCUACAACUAACACAGGGCUUGAACUUACAACCCCGAGCCCAAGAGUCACAUGCUCCACCAACUAAGCCAGCCCCAGGAGCGCCUAGUUCUUUCCUUUUUAAUGCUGAAGAAUACUAUUUAGUAAUACUACCACAUAAUGUCACAGUUCAAUUACCCGUUCACCCACUGAAGGACAUUUGGGUUUUUCUCCAUUUUGAGCUAUUACAAAUAAAGCUAUGUUCAUAUAUAGGUUUUUGGGUGGACCUAAGUUUUUUGUUGCUUUGGGAUAAAUGCCAUACUCCCAGACUGUUUGGUAAGCAUACGUUUAGCUUUUUAAGAAACCAACAAAGUAGGGGCAUCUGGCUGGCUCAGUUGGUUGAGUGGCCAACUUUGGCUCAGGUCAUGAUCUCGCAGUUUGUGAGUUCAAGACCCACAUCAGGCUUGUUGCUGUCAGUGCAGAGCCUGCUUCAGAUCCUCUGUCCCCCUCUCUCUGCCCCNNNCCCCCCCCCCCCCCCCCCCCCCCCCCCCCCCCGCUUGCACUCUUUCAAAAAUAAAUAAACGUUAAAAAGAAAAAAAAAAAAGAAACAAACUAAGAAACAAUAGUCUGAUAUUUUCCAAAAUGGCUGGGCCACUCCAUGUUCCUGCUGGCAGUGCAUUAGAGAUGGAGUUUCUCUGCAUCCUUGCCAGCAUGUGGUAUUGUCACUAUUUUUAAUUGUUCUAAAAGAUGUGUAAUGAAUUUUUAAAAAUUUAAGUGACAGCAUGUCAACCCUCUGCUCAAACCCUGCAAAAAAAGCUCUGCAUCUUCAGAGAAAAGGCCUGACAACGAUCUUUAAGGUUUUACAUGAUGUGGUUCUCUAUCUCUUUGAUCUCAUUUUGUUUCGCUCCCCCCUGUUCAUUCUAUCUAGCUCUAUCUAUCCAACAUGCCAGGCACAUUCUUGCCUCAGGGCCUUUGCACCUGCCAUUUCCUCUAUCUGGGACACAUUUGUUUUUGAGAUUACAUGGCUGGUUCCCUCCAAAUGUCAUUCAAGUGUCACCUUCCCAAUGAAACCUUCUCUUUUACAACCUUAUUUAAAACCCUAACACCCUUUACGAUUCCCUAUUUAUGAUUUCUCUUCCACAUCACCACAGAGACCAUCAGCAGGGGAGGGGCAGAGAGAGGAUCAGAGGAAACAGAGGAUCCGAAGCGGUUUCUACGCUGACAAGUAGUGAGCCUGAUGCAGGGCUCGAACUCAUGAACUAAGCCGUGAGAUUAUGACCUGAGCCAAAGUCAGCACCAGCUGGGCCACCCAGGUGCCCCUCUUCCAGGAACAUCACUAUUAACUUUCUAUCCCCCCAGCCUCCUGCAAAUGCAAGCUCCCUACGGACAAGAAUUUUUUUGUCUAUUUGUCUCACACAUAUAUCCCCAGCCUCUAGAACAAUACUUAUUAAACAGUGUGAGUCUAAAUGGAUAUUAGUUGAAUGAAUAAAUCAACUAUGUCCCCAAAGUACACAACAGAUAGCUAUUACUGCCUAUAAAAGGUGAGCUUGGUCACCUUAAGAAACUGAUUAUAAAGUCAUGUGGUCAGUGCAGCUCUCAUUAAAAGCAUUUGUAAAGUUCGGGGGCCUCAUGACACUUGCUAAUAAGCAGCAGCAUUUUCUGAAUAUUUUAUCUAUGUCACAGCCGUGUAUACUUAACUCUCAUAAUAGCCUAGUGGCAUGCAGAGCAAUUAUUAUUAUACCCAUUAUAAAAGAAAAAGGAGGUAAAUGAGUUUCCCAAGAGAUUAAUUAUUUAAUAAAUGAAACUAGAAGCCAGCUUCCCUGCCCAAAGUUAAUGUUUUGCCCACUAAUCUGUUGUUGUUGUUUUUCUAAUGUUUAUUUCUUUUUGAGACAUAGAAAGACAGAGUGCAAGCUGGGGAGGGUCAGAGAGAGGGGGAGACACAGAAUCCAAAGCAGGCUCCAGGCUCUGAGCUGUCAGCACACAGCCCCAGGAGAGGACCAAAACCAUGAAACAUGAGAUUACGACCUGAGCCAAAGUCGGACGCUUAACCGACUGAGCCACCCAGGCGUCCCCCUCCUUUUUUAAAAGUAAUCUCUACACCCAACAUGGGGUUUGAACUCACGACCCUGAGAUCAAGAACUGCAUGCUCCACCUACUGACUCAGCGAAGGCGCCCCAAAUCUAUUUUCUUCUUGAUAGUAUUCUUAGGAAUAUGAUAGUGGUUUCAACAUUAUGAUUUGUUAAUGAGUUCAUUCAUCUACCAAACAUUUAUCAAGUGCCUAAACUCUAUCAUAUUGAUAAAUAAGACUUGUUGGUCUAUCGCUUUACCUUUCUGUGCUCGUGAUCAAUCAUGACAUUAUGGGGCUUCACAUCUCUGUGCAUAAUUCCCAUGCUGUGACAAUAAUCCAGGGCCUGUAGGAGGAACAGAUAAGAAAGAAAGAGUUAGCCUGCUUAAGAGUGACUUUCUUAAAGUCUUCUACUUUUUUCACCAGAGGUUUUCUUGUAGCCUCACAAAACCCCUGUGAGUCAAGAACAGGACAAUCACUCCCACAGCUCUUCUUCAGAGACUUCCCCAAGAUCCCAUAGUCAAGAAAACUCAUAGCCUCUGAACUUCAAGUUCUGUCCCUACACUGUUGGUUCAACAUCCUUUCUGCUGAAAAACACCGAAAGUAUAUACCAAUUGCAACACUUCCAGUAUCUCCCCCUUACCCAAAGGCUGGAUCAUUUUCAGAAACACAGGCCCCUCAAAACAAGAAAACCGGUCUGUUCUACAAACCUCUCAUUCAAAGAACAAUAAUCUUCUAGCAGCUAAGAGCACACAACAGAGGUUGGCAAAUCACAGCCCAUGGACCAAAUACGGCCUGCUGCCUCUUUUCGUGAAUGUUUUAUUGGAACACAGCCACACCAAUUUGUUUACGUAUCAUCUCUAGCUGCUUUUGUGUCACCACAGGGAUAGUGUGAGAAAGAACCUAUGGCCCACAAAGCCAAAAAUUUUAUUGUUUGUCCUGUACCUGAUUUAUUACAUCAAAUCCGAUUUGAAAACCAUGUCCAAUCUCAAACUAAGGUGAACUGAGUAGCAUAACCUUUGGGGUUUGCUAAUCCCAGCCUUUAAGCCAGCUGAUGUCAUUGGCUAAGUUCUUGUCCUUCCUGAAGGGCAACUUCGGUUCCUAUGGUUUCCAGGGCUAGACAAGUAUAUCCUUUAACUUUGUGAAGUCACGCUUGUCACAAUACUGCAGGAGCCAAUGGAGAGAUCAAAUAUCUCUGUUGGGAUAGCCUCUUUAGGGUGCUACUAAAAUUCAAAUGCAGGCUUUAUAGCAACCCUCAUUUAGUAAGAAUCUUUAGCCACCUCUUCACAAUUUUCUCAUCUAUAGAGAUGAUCUUAAUGCUUACUAGGAGCAAGACAAUUGGUGAUCUCAUGUUAGAAAUCAAAGUCCACUCUAAAUCAGCAAUCUUUGAGCAGAGAUUUACAUAAUCCUUAGGACGAUGACCCUUUGAGGGCUGAGAUGGAGUUUACUGUUUUACUUGUAGAAUUUUAAGUAAAAUAAAGUAUACCACAAGCCAGCGUAUCAGAAGUUAUUUUUGUUGAGUUUUGACAAUCUAAUUGUAACUUUCAUAGGAGUACGAUGGAGAUUACAAGUAUUUUUUAAAGGGGCCCCAGCUCACUUCCAAAUACCAUUUCCAAAGCAUUCUAAAUUACAUUCCUACUAGACUCUAUUCCGUAAUGCUUACAUUAGCACAGGGUUCUGAUGCUAUUAACUAACUAAACACUUACAUGAAGAGGCCCCUUCUUUCAACAUACUUUCCAAAGUUAAUUCACUGGCUUCUCCACAGUUAACUGGACCAUUUAACAAAAGGAAGAGCAAACUAAAGAUAUUUAGUAUCCCAGGUUCCCUUACCUUCAGAAUCUCAUACAUGUAAAAUCGAAUAUCAUAGUCUGUUAACGUCUGGUACAAUUGCUGUUAAAGACAAAUGCAACAUAUAAGCCGUGAAAUAAUGCUGAUAGGAAGGCAAUUUCUCAUCUUUGUUUGUAGUAAUUCAAACCAAGACUUGGCUCGUUUGCAACAGUUCCGGGAUGUGUCUGUUCAUCAGUCUCUACUUCUCCAACAGAAACUUACUUUUUAAAAGAGAUACUUUGGGUAUUUAACUCUAUAUGCAAAAGCGAAGACUUAGUUAAACUUGUAUUGCUUAAGCUAUAACCCACUGUUGGGAAUGUACCAAUUUACAUAUGCAACAUGCACUGAUACCAUACAUUUGAAGUUUAGUCUGCUUUGCAUUUACCUCCAGACCUUCCAAUAUAAGGCAUUUUGGCAAAUACACACCUUCCUUAGUAGGGAACUAACCCACCUUUGAUGUAUAGAGUUAUAUAGGCACUAUGGGUCACCAGCUGGUAUGUAAGAUGGCUUCCCGCCAAAUCCGUCAAUUUGACAGAACUAUUCCCAUCCCAAGUUGAAAGUAAACUCUGAACUGUUGUAUAUCCUUUCCAGGUUCCAAGAAGCUGCAGAUUUUUUUUUUUAAAUCUAUGUAUCAUUCAGCUGUUAGUGAUAUCCUGACAGUUUUCCUUGAAGUUAUCAUUCUGCUUCUAAAAUACUUACUUUCCUUUUUUUCAUCCUCCCAGCAAAGGGUUCACAGGCUUCACCCAUUUACUGAUACAUAACAUUCUUACUACAGGACUGUGAAAAGGCAAGUCAAGUACCUUUACAGCUUGUAACCCAAGAGAGUGCCCACAUUCCUCUGCUGUACUCGAAUUGAGAACUGUUUGAAAUAAGGAGGAUACCAGAUGGGCUGGAAGUCAGAGAUCUGUUGUAGAGGUCUGUAUUAUACCAGAGUUUGUACCAUGCUUCUCUACCCACCCCCUUUUUAAGAUCUAUAGCCCAGAAUUUCUGAGGGAUCCCAAGGUAUAAGCAGUCCUUGCUUGUACACACACAAUGUAUUCCUUCUUGAAUACAGUUGUUUUAACGUGAAAUGCCCUACAGCCAGAUCCUGACUGAACACGUGCUGUGGCUUUUAUUAGGUUUGACAUCUGUAGAAACUGUCAAAUGAAUGGUAAAGGUGGUGAGAAGUAAAUGUAUUGGUAAUUAAAAAGAGCACAAAACAAACAAAAGAGUGAAAUACCAAGAUGUGGAAAGCAGACAUUGCUUCUGUGAGUUUCUCUAUCUUAAAAUAAGGAUAAAUUCUCUAUCUUAAGUAAGGAUGAAAAGCUCUUUUUAAGCAUGUUAGAAGGAAGCUCUUCUAAUAGUAACAUUGCUAAAAGGCUUUCUAUGUGGUCUAAAAACCCAACACCUUGAAAUGGUUGGUUAUAUAUUAUACCUUGAAGUCUGUGUUGUUUACGUGUUCAAAAACCAAGGCAGGGGUUCGUGACUAGGGGAAAGAAAAAGAAAACACACAUUAGCAAUAGCCCUGGCAGCUUUAGCAGGCACAAUGUUCGCAGAUACUACGUGGUGAAUUUGGUAGUCCUUGCCUCAGUAGUAGGAAACCCUCUAUUGCUACGAGCCCUCCCCACUCUGAUCACCACCACACUUAGGUCAUUUUUGGGAUGGAUUUCAAACAGAAGACAUGGAGCUGAAGUCUCACCAGGCUCUAGGCAGCCCGACAAUGCGCCCAUCGCCCAUCGGCAUCGGACCUGAGUUUGCAAAAUGGAUUAACACAUUUCAGUUUCCAGUGCUAUCAGUCUCUUAGCCUAGAAGAAUAAGAAAUAGUCUGUGGGUGGAGGUCUCUUUGAAAGAAAGACCCAAGCUAGUUAAAUGGUAUAACUGAUUAAGCACUUUUAAAGCAGGACUUAACGGUAGAGGGGGAAAAUAAAGAGGCCAGUUGUGCUCCAGGUCAAACACCACCUCAGCCCUGGUGGGCCUUGCCAGCGCCUACCAUACUCACCACAGGGUCUUUUACAAUGUCUGCCAGUGUGAUGAUAUUGGGACCGCCUCGUAAAUUCUCCAAAAUCUUUAUUUCACGCUUGAUUUUCUUCUUCUUUACUGGCUGAAAGGGUAAAAGUACAUCAGUGAAAUUAUUUCAGAGUAUUUCAACAUGUAAAUAAAUGUAAUACAUAAAUGGCUAUUUAUGAGCUCUUUAAAGGAAAGGAUAUGUGUCCAUCUCCUCUCUGAAUCCCCUUCUCCUAGCCCUGUGCCAGGGAUUCUGCAGGGACUCAGCAAAUGUUGAGUUGAAAGAAAAAAGAGUUCAUCCCAGAGAGCAAACCUCUGCAGAACUAGCAUUUAAUUCAUCAUCAAUCAUAGCAUGUUAACUUUUUAUUUUUUUUAAUUUUUUUUUAAUUUUUUUUUUAAUGUUUUUAUUUUAUUUUGAGAGAGAGACAGUGUGAGCGGGGAAGGGGCAGAGAGAGGGGGAGACACAGAAUCUGAAGCAGGUUUCAGGCUCUGUCAGCACAGAGCCUGACGCGGGGCUCGAACUCACAAACUGUGAAACCAUGACCCGAGCCGAAGUCGGUCGCUCAACCAACUGAACCACCCAGGCGCCCCGCACGUUAACUUUUUUAAACUAUACAAACCAGGACUGUAAGUUGUUAGUAAUACUAAGACAUAGCUUGUAAAAGUCUCUGACAAUUAGGAUGAAACAUGGGCUCUUUCCAUUCCUUCCUUUAAGUCUAUCGACUUCCCCCACCCUACAGAGGGGAAGUCAGGACCAACAGCAAGGAUGACCAAAUCACCUUUGUGCAGCAUAACUUUGUGGUUAAAUGUGGGACUUGGAAUCAAACUACGUAACGUGAAUCUUACAUUCAUUGCUGGCUGUGUGACUAGGGGCAAAUUACCUAAGUUCUGUAAGCCUUUCGUUAUGGGUAAAAAUGAUCAACAAGAGCACAUAUCUCAGAAUAUGGCUGGGACACAACCCAUAAUAUCUGCCUAGCUUUAUCACCCAUAUUCCUAUAAAUGAGCUGCUGCGUCCAUUUAAAAAAGACCACUCUGCAGAGUCCCUUGAGUAUAUCUCCCAUGUGCCUUUGUCCUCACCCAUCAUUUCUACAUCGGUUCCCGUACAGAAAUCCUUUUCAUUUUUCUGGGGAGGGCUUUGGUCCAACUGCACUUCCUCCACAAAGCCUUCCUUCUAAAUAGUCUAAAACAGUGAUAGUCCAAAAGGAAUACAAUACAAGCCACAUGUGUAUUUUAAAUGUUCUAGUACCCACAUUAAAAAAGUAAAAAGAAACAGACGUUAAUUUUAAUAUAUUUAACAAAAUAUAUCCAAAAUCUUAUCAUUUCAACCUGUAAAUCAACAUAAAAAUUCCAAUAAAUAAUUUAUAUUUUUUUUGUGCUAAGCCUCUGGAAUCAAUUAUAUUUUAUCCUCACAGCAUAUCUCCAUUUGUACUAGCCACAUUUCAAAUGCUCAAAAGCCACACGUGGCCCGUAUCUGCUACACUGGACCACGAGGUUUUUCGCAGGGCAUCAGUCACCUCCGACUAUUGAUAUUCUGCAUAGAAUUCUUAGAAAUUGUUUUAAGUAUGUUUUGUCUCUUCAUCAACAAGAUCAGUGGUUACCAAACUUCAUGAUCAACAGUCACCUGGAUUUUUUUUAAGUUUGAGAGAAAGAGAGCAAGAAGAGGAGGGAUGGAAAGAGAGGGAGAAAGAAUCCCAAGGAGACCCCGCACUGCCAGCACAGAGCCCAUUACGGGCCUCGAACUCACAAAUGGGGAGAUUGUGACCUGAGACGAAAUCAAGAGUCAGACUUUUUUUUUUUUUUUUUUAACGUUUAUUUAUUUUUGAGACAGAGAGAGACAGAGCAUGAACAGGGGAGGGGCAGAGAGAGAGGGAGACACAGAAUCUGAAACAGGCUCCAGGCUCUGAGCUGUCAGCACACAGCCUGACGCGGGGCUCGAACCCACGGACCAUGAGAUCAUGACCUGAGCCGACGUCGGACGCUUAACCGACCAAGCCACCCAGGCGCCCCAAGAGUCAGACGUUUAACUGACUGAGCCACCCAGGUGUCCCUAAUAGUUACCUGUGUUCUUAAAUAUACAGAUUCCCAGGUCCCACUUAGAUCUGCUGAAUCAGAAUCUUGAGAAUGGAGUUAGAGAGCUAUUCUUAGAUACUUCCUAGGUUGAUAAUCCAGGUCUAGGAACUACCAAACCAUACUGUAAAUUAACCUUGUCUUAAGUUCCAAGCAGGAGCUACAGAAACAAGCAAGUCUUGGAAACAGACCAUCCUCAAAUCCAGCUUUGUAGUUAUGCAGCUUUGGGAAAAGCACUUAAAUGUAUCUGAAAUUUUUUUUUUUUUAAUGUUUAUUUACUUCUUGAGAGAGACAGAGUGCAAGCAGGGGAGGGGCAGAGAGACAGACAGACACACACACACACACACACACACACACACACACACACACACAGAUCUGAAGCUGGUUCUAGGCUCCGAGCUGUCAGCACAGAGCCCCACAUGGGGCUCGAACCCACGAACCUAGAGAUCACGACCUAAGCCAAAGUAGGAUGCUUAACCAACUGAGCCACCCAGGCACCCCAAACGUAUCUGAAUUUAUAACUUGCCUUGUAGAACUGUUGUAAUGUAAAUAUCACAGACAGAAUAGGGCCCAAUGCAAAGUAGACAAUAUAUGGAAACUGUUACUAAUAGAGACUCCCAUGGUCUACAUUUAAUUCAAUCCACAGCUUUUAGCCUUGCUUCUGUUAGAACUCAGUACACUGACUGGGAAGCAAGCUGAUCCGAAGUUUCCUCUUUUUGCUUCAACUACCAGAUCUUUGUGAUCUGCUAGAGUAUCUGGGAGAUCUACUUUCCAGGGACUAACCCAUCAAUCUAUCACCUGUUUUCCACUAAAUCACUAUUUCCCAACUGCCAGCUAUAGCUAAGGCUUAUAGCUAAACUUAUAGCUAAGGCUACUGGUUAAUGAAAUUUUUUUCCUACAGAAUCCUUAAAAUCUGUGAACUUACAAAGCUGGUUUGUGAUAGACCAGGCAGGUGACUUAAACUCUAAUUUAAUGUGAUCAAUGCAACUAUUUUGUCUUAAUAAAUAGGUAGAUCAAAAAUUUUAAAUAGAGUUUAUGAACGAACUUCAUCUAUAUUUACAACCAUCUUUCUAUAUAAUUACAGUAAAAUAUACAGUACAGUUAGGAAAAGACUGGAGUACAAAAAAAAAAUCUUUCCAAACCCCCCUUCACUCAAAAUCAUCAAUGACUCCCAACAACCUAGAAGAGAGAAAAAUCACGUUACCUUUUUAAAGAAAGAACGAGAGCAUGCACAGGAGCAGAGGAGGAGGCAGAAGGAGAGGCAAAGGGAGAGAGAGAAUCCCAAGCAGGCUCCACAGAGCCUGAGGCAGGGCUCAAUCCCGAGACCGUGAGAUCAUGGCCUUAGCGGAAAUUAAGAGUCUGAAGCCCAACCUACUGAGCUACCUUUUAAGACUUGAAGGAAAUGCAGAGAUUAUCUUUUCCAGCUGACCACCAAUUUAACUUUCCUUUCCAAGUUCACCUUCCAUGCAUGGUCACUCAACAUCUUCCACAGGAAACAUUUCUCUCACUUAUUUCUUCCUCUUUUCUUAUCUUGUGGAUUCUUCCCUUCUCUACUCCCACCCAUACCUAUCCAAAUCCUCCCCCCAUUCAGAGCCUGAAAACAGCUCCUGGGAGCUUUCCCGAACCACCAGCUUCUUCUGAACUGUGAGACCAACUAUUUGUGCCUUUUAUGACACUAGAUAACACCUCACUUUAUUUUACCAUAUCCCUUUCCACAUACGUAUCAUCCUACAAUUUACACAGAAUUUCAACCUCUAAAGUAUAUGUCUAUAUACAAAUUUUUUUUUAAGUUUACUUAUUUAUUUUUGAGACGGGGGGAGGGGCAGAGAGACAGGGGAAGAGAGAAUCCCAAGCAGACUCCGCACUGUCAGCAGAGCUCAAUGCGGGGCUCAAACGCACAAACCAUGAGAUCAUGACCUGAGCCAAAACCAAGAGUUGGACACUUAACCUACUGAGCCACCCAAGUACCCUCUAUAUAAUUUUUUAUUUGAUCCCCAUAACAACUGAGAAAGACAGAGAAAGCAAGAUUAUCUCAUUUGCACAGAUGAACAAAACAUCUUAGGUUAAAAGGAUUACCAAGGUUAAUUACUUUUAGAGUUUGGGUUAGAAUCCACAUGUUCUAAUUUCGGGCUUAGUUCUGUUCCUACAUGUGACAUAAGACAGAUAAACUUUCCGGUUCCCAAAAGGUAUGCCAAGGCAUCCCCCACAAAUUCAUAGGGGUUCUGUGAGAUUUUUAAGUUUUUUUUUUUUUUUAAUUUUUUUUUUUCAACAUUUAUUUAUUUUUGGGACAGAGAGAGACAGAGCAUGAACGGGGGAGGGGCAGAGAGAGAGGGAGACACAGAAUCGGAAACAGGCUCCAGGCUCUGAGCCAUCAGCCCAGAGCCCGACGCGGGGCUCGAACUCACAGACCGCGAGAUCGUGACCUGGCUGAAGUCGGACGCUUAACCGACUGCGCCACCCAGGCGCCCCGAGAUUUUUAAGUUUUGAGGGAAAUAUCAAUUAAUAUCCAAAUCCGCCAGGGAAGGAGUAUACUACCAACCUGAGGUUGUUCUUAGUUUCAACAUUAGAUUGCACUACAUUCCUUUUGAUGGUGUAUUUUUGCAAAGCUGGGUUUUCAACCCUUCCUGUGACAAAAAGUAAGUACUACACAAAAACCACUGUUGAAAAGGAAAUGAGUCUAUUAGUGUCCAAAUGAUUCCAACAUUCGAGAAGCUGUGCAGUGAUCAACAGAUGUAUAUAUCCCAAAGCUCAUCAAUUAUGGUCAUAUAAGCAUAAAAUAAGCUAUAUUUUCUUUCAAUUUCUGUGUAUAACAGUUUAGUUUUUAAAAUUUUUAUAAAGUUAUUUAUUUACUUACAGAGAGAGUGAGCGAGCGAGCCAGGGUGUGCAUAUGUGCUCGAGUGAGAGAGAGGGAGAGAAUCCCAAGCAGGCUCUGUGCUGUCAGUGCAGAGCCUAACUUGGGGCUUGAUCUCAUGAACUGUGAAACCAUAACCUGAGCCCAAAUCAAGAGGUGGACACUUAAAUGACUGAACCAUCCAGGUGCCCCAGUGUAUAACAUUUGAAAUGGCACCCAAGUUAAACAUUUUUUUGUUUUUUGGACUUAACUACUUAAAAGUUACUGACACAAUAUGGGUGGCUAUAAAUUGAUGAAGUCUGGGAACCUUUGCUUCUCAGUAUCAAAUAUGGGAAAGUUCCUAUAGCAAGGAACUAUAUGCUAAGUUCCUGGCAUAUGACAGUGCACAGUACAGUCGUAAGUAACUUCCAAGUUGCAUGUUGGUAGCCCACUGGCCAAACCUGGCCUACACAGUGUGUGUAUAUAUGUAUUUGUUUAUAUAUUUAUUUUAGAAUGGAAAAGAGCAAGUGGGGGAGGGGCAGAGAGAGGGAGAGAGAGAAUAACGAGCAGGCUCAGUGCUGUCAGCUCGACCUCACGGACCAAGAGAUCAUGACCUGAGCCAAUAUCAAGAGUCAGAUGCUUAACCGACUGAGCCACCCAGGCACUCCUGUAGUGUUUUUAAAAACUCUUGAGCCAACAUUUAAAAAAUCAGGGGAAUUCAUAUAUAAAUACAAAUUUUUACUUUCUUUUUGGAGAAGCGUAUCAAGCAACACUGGACCUGCACUACUGCGAAGUAAUUACCAGCCGGAGCUGGAGCACACACAGCAGUACCCGUCGCAGGCACUUACAUCACACUAGCUGCACAGACGGCAACUGCCUGCCAUUUAAAGGCCUGCGUUUGGACUCCUUUUCCUCACACAGAAAAGGUAACAACUUAUUGAAAACAAAAGGAUGGAAUAUAACUGAAAAUAUAGGAAAUCAGUAUUAGGCAAGACGUAGGAGAGAGAAGAUUGAACCUUUACUCCCUUCCUCUGCCACAAACUCGCUGAGCUGUAUGACUUGAGCCAAAUUGCUUCUUUUGCUUCAAUUUCCUGACCUGUCAAAUAAAGACAACCUCUUCUGGGCGCCUGGGUGGCUCAGUUGGUUAAGCACCUGACUUCAGGUCAGGUCAUGAUCUCACAGUUAGUGAGUUCGAAUCCCGCUUCGGGAGAGCCCCACUUCUUUCUCUCCCUCUCUGCCUCUUGCUCACUUGAGCCCUCUUUCACAACAACAACAGAUAACCUCAUCUAUCAACUUCAGAGAAUACAGUACAAAAGUGUUAAAGCAUUACAAAAAACUUUUCAAAUGCUACUUUAAAAAAAAGGUAUCAUUAUUACUUAAAAAUCUAAAUCCCAAGUACUUCUGAAAUGAUAAUCUCUUUCUUCUUAUACUCACCUUGAGAAUUUUAACAACAACUUUUUCAUUAUUUGUGAUGUUGAUGGCUUCAAAUACUUCACUGUAUUUACCCCGGCCUAAUUUUCGAACGAGUUGGUAGUCAUCUUGAUUACUGUGAACAAAAAAAGUCAAAGUCACAAUGAUUUUAAAAGUUCAAACUAUAAGGCACUAAUUAACUUUAAAAACUCUACUACCAGUAGGAGUAAAAGAAAUAAAAGGCAUUUCAAAUAAUUCCCAAAUUGGUUUCUCUGUAUUUUAAAAAUCGGGCCAUUAAUUAAAAAUGUGUGUUCUAAAUCCUAGAAUUAGAAAAGUUUAAGCCUUUCAAUUAUUCUUUCAAAUCACACACUGUUUACAUUUCUACUGGCAUGCCACACAUAGCCACCUUAUGUUAGGGUUUGUUAUGUGUUUAUAUCCAACAACAGACAGCUUUCCCUUGGAGGAUAAUUUUUAUAUAUCUCUGUCCUCUCGUGCCUGGCCCGGUGUUGGCACCUAGCAGGAAGUCAAUUCAUGUUGUAAGAAUAUUUCAAUUCAGCCACACAUUAGAAGCAGAUUUUUCAUGGACCUUUUUGCAGGUAAGUGGCUUUCAAACAUAUAGGCUUGACUUCCCAUUUGCCCUCCAAGGCAAACUCUGAGGACAGUCCAUGUAAAAAGUUUGCAAAUCACACUACAGAUCAUGAAUCAUAGUUAGGGGCCCCUUCCUCUAUUUUUACCCAUAUUCCAUGACCAUUAGCAACAUCAGAGGUAAAAAAAAUAAGGGAAAUGCCAACAUUUUAUCCCUGCCUCUGAUUACAAUUUAGAUGACUUUGCUUUAAAGAGUAAGUCAAAAUUCUAUUUACUCCUGCUGGGGGCACUGCAAAUCCAACAUGUAACAAAUUAGCCAUCCAUUGUCCUCAAGCAGCCAAAAAGAAAGUGAAAUGAACAGACAAGGCAGAUGGUACUAAGGACAACGGACACUGUAUUAAGGCAGGUCUGGGGGAGGAGGCUCUUAAUUCUGGUAGAGUUCUCCCGUGGCAGACACAGAAAACAAAUGCAUGUGAGCCAAGAGUGCCAUGCCAAACCUCGGAAGGGCUGUUUAGUGCUAUUUAAGCAGAACUAAGUGCAAAGCACUCAAUUCAAAGACAGUGGUUCAAAUUUUGUUAGCAAAACACAAGUAUUCCUAGAAUUUGAAGCCUGUGACAAGUGAGGAAUUGUUAGGUUAUCAAUAACAACAUUUAUUGAUAUUGUACCACUGGUUCUUGAUGGUAUCUAUGAAGCACACUGUAACUCCUUGUGCACAGGCAAUGCAUUUACUGUUAAGAAUCAUGGCCCAAUCAGGAUUACAUACCCCCUUAUGUCAAUAUUGGGAGACUAUCUUUAACCACUUACAGGUUAUAUACAUCACAUGUGAAUAGAUAUAAAAUGUAGCAUGUGGGAGCUACUGCUUUAUGCAUUUCCAAAUUGCUUUCUUUUGCACUGGAUGUCAAAAUGCUUUUAUCACAGUUAGUAUGACCUGAUCAAUUAAAUACCUACAUGUUGGGACAAGAGAUACAAACAUCCAAAUGAGACUGCAGAGAGAAUAGGGGCAAACACAACUACGGAGGUAGACUGCAACUGUUCAAAAUGGAAUGGGGGCUUAAAUCCACGUUACUCAUGGCUUGCUUCAUGGUAAGAGUAAACGCUGAUAAGGGUUUAAUUUUGUUUCUAUCAGAAAGAGGAUAUCUUUCUGGAGAACUGUUUCAUCCUUCAGUAUCAUCAUGGGACAACAUUCUCUGACCUCAAAAAUACUUUACAUAAGAGUAUGGUUUUAAAAUCUCUCAAGUAUUAAUUCUCACCUAACUACAAAGCCCUUAGGUGAGACAAGCUGACAUGUAACUCUUUGUUACCAGCCUUUUAUCCAGAAUAUGUAAGUCCAAGGAAAGAAUAAGAGACAGAAGUAAUUUUUAAAUGGUAAGCCCAACAAAACUGUUAAUUUGCCAAAGCAAUACGUUGCUUCUUCACUGCAGAAGAAAACACAAAUCAGGUUUUAAUCUUGAGGUUUAUAAAUGCAGGCAGGAAGGAUUCCUAACACAAAUUACUCAACAAGUACACAAGAAUCAACCCUAUGAGUGAGGACAGUGAAGUAAGAGGANCACCUAACUACAAAGCCCUUAGGUGAGACAAGCUGACAUGUAACUCUUUGUUACCAGCCUUUUAUCCAGAAUAUGUAAGUCCAAGGAAAGAAUAAGAGACAGAAGUAAUUUUUAAAUGGUAAGCCCAACAAAACUGUUAAUUUGCCAAAGCAAUACGUUGCUUCUUCACUGCAGAAGAAAACACAAAUCAGGUUUUAAUCUUGAGGUUUAUAAAUGCAGGCAGGAAGGAUUCCUAACACAAAUUACUCAACAAGUACACAAGAAUCAACCCUAUGAGUGAGGACAGUGAAGUAAGAGGAAAUAAUUACCCCCACUCCACCACAUGUGACUCAUAAUCCCAGUACUCUCGGGGUCUGUGCGUAUUAACAUCUGUGUAAACUCUGGCCCUGCUUGGCACGGGUCCCGACAUGUCAGACAGGUUGGCGAAUGAAGGUGGACUUGAUGUUUGGAGAUCUGGCAGUCAAUGUGUUCAGAAGCAGCUGGGGGUAUGACCUUGUUUCAGACCUGUUUUCUUCAAACUG
RNAcentral lists this long non-coding RNA (17855 nucleotides) under Lynx pardinus (Iberian lynx). The stretch from base 14918 to 15002 matches the Rfam family "tRNA". The record is from RNAcentral. Lineage: Eukaryota; Metazoa; Chordata; Mammalia; Carnivora; Felidae.